RNAcentral lists this long non-coding RNA (431 nucleotides) under Phoenix dactylifera (date palm). Its description in RNAcentral is "long non-coding RNA (PDAC_LNC007676)". The record is from RNAcentral. Lineage: Eukaryota; Viridiplantae; Streptophyta; Magnoliopsida; Arecales; Arecaceae.
AUGAGGUUGGUGGCCACCUCCCACAAAGCUCUUCUCUUCCGGUAAUCUGUACUAGCAUAUGUAGCCAAAAGGACCCAAGGGGGUCCAGCCCCUCUGAAAUCACUAGAAUCACUUGCUAGCUACAUUUGUGGAAGACAUCAAUGCCAUUUCCCCCUAAUCUCCAUAACACAAUGACACCCCUUGAGAUGCCCCUAGACUACACUGCAUAUGUCCCCCAGGAUCUCGGGAUAACACGCCUGACCCGCUCCAAGUUAGCUCCCGACAAUAGGGUCUCAAAUAGAACACAAACAUCAGGGUCAUAUAGACUCACCAAUCUACAAAAAGUCGGCCGGAAGAAGAGCUUUUCUGCUCUCGGCAAUUCUACAAGAGAAUCUUCAUAACAAUCCUUGGGUAUUCCCAUGUCUGGCCGCACCAAGACCCCUCCCGCCUCA